Molecule: long non-coding RNA, 778 nt
Organism: Dipodomys ordii (Ord's kangaroo rat)
Lineage: Eukaryota; Metazoa; Chordata; Mammalia; Rodentia; Heteromyidae
Exons: 7
Source: RefSeq, a predicted model, not a curated record
AGGCUGCGGCUUUUCUGGCUUCAGCGCCGCGGCUGGAGUUAUGGCAUGUUUCCUGGAUGUGGAUCCCUGCCUUGACUGCCUUCUGCCGCUACUCAGACAGCCGGCUCUGUGCAGCGGGGUCUCUCUCCACAGUCUCGGCAUUUCUGCAACAGUGGAUUCAGCCAGGAGGCACCACUGGAAUGUUCAUCAUGAACCUCUUUGUGUCUCACUCCUGUGAUUUAAGCUCAAGGCUUCUGACUCAGAAAGUUCACCAGUGCUCCAGGAUGAAUCACUGUUGCUGUGGAUGUCCUUGUAAAGCAACUCGGAAACCUUGUGCUGUGUAUCAAACUUUCGGCCUUGUCAAUAGUAGAUGAGCACUCUACCAUUCAGCCUUAUCUCUGGCUCUGUGAAGACACCAAAUCUGUCAGAUCUUUGUGAGAGAGUGCACAGCAGAAGAGGAGGGGAAUCUUCUCAGUGAUUAAGGAUUUGGAGGAAUCAGUCUUUCCACUGACAUCUUGAAAUGUGAGCUGGACAAAGGAAACGGUAUCCCACUCAGUCAGGGGCUGCUUUAUUCUCACUUCAUAGGAAUUAGGAGACUUCAUGAGAAAAUUAUAAAGAAAUGAAGCAGGAAGUAUGACUACAGUUGUUUGAUCUCAGUUUCACAAAACAUCAUUCAACAAUGCAAUCAGUCUCUGGAGAUGCACCCCAGACCACAGCACGGAAUUUAGACAUUUGAGAUCAAGUUUGAAGAAAGUGAAGCUCAGUGAACUACUGGUGAAGUUUCUUCAAUCUUUAUUCC